CUCCUCUAAAUUCCUCUUAAUCCUCCUCUAAAUUCCUCUUAAUCCUCUAAAUUCCUCUUAAUCCUCCUCUAAAUCCCUCUUAAUCCUCUAAAUUCCUCUUAAUCCUCCUCUAAAUCCCUCUUAAUCCUCUAAAUUCCUCUUAAUCCUCCUCUAAAUUCCUCUUAAUCCUCCUCUAAAUUCCUCUUAAUCCUUCUCUAAUUUCCUCUUAAUCCUCCUCUUAAUCAUCCUCUUAAUCCUUCUCUAAAUUCCUCUUAAUCCUCCUCUAAAUUCCUCUUAAUCCUCCUCUUAAUCAUCCUCUUAAUCCUUCUCUAAAUUCCUCUUAAUCCUCUAAAUUCCUCUUAAUCCUCCUCUAAAUUCCUCUUAAUCCUCCUCUAAAUUCCUCUUAAUCCUCCUCUAAAUUCCUCUUAAUCCUCUAAAUUCCUCUUAAUCCUCCUCUAAAUUCCUCUUAAUCCUCUAAAUUCCUCUUAAUCCUCUGAAUUCCUCUUAAUCCUCUGAAUUCCUCUUAAUCCUCCUCUAAAUUCCUCUUAAUCCUCCUCUAAAUCCCUCUUCCAUAUCCUCUAAGUGGUUUAGAAGCGGAUCAAAACAAACAACACUGUAAAACCAGCCCUCAGAGGAUAUGGUAAAGGAUUAAGAGGCUUAGAAGAGGAUUUACGGCGACGCUCGGACACCAACGUCAGCGUGGCCAUAGCGGAAGGGUUGAUGUAUCGUCGCACACUUAGGAAAUGAACCACAGCUGCCAUUAUGUUAGUGUUAAGUGCGGAAGGAGCGGAGAGCUACAUGGGACUGGUAUUGACGGGAGGGACAUGUUAGGUCAGCUUAGGUUCUUAUGAGGCAAACCAGGUGUGUGGGAGGUGUGGAGAGCUACAUGGGACUGGUAUUGACGGGAGGGACAUGUUAGGUCAGCUUAGGUUGUUAUGAGACAAACCAGGUGUGUGGGAGGACUGCGGAGAGCUACAUGGGACUGGUAUGGAAGGGAGGGACAUGUUAGGUCAGCUUAGGUUGUUAUGAGGCAAACCAUGUGUUGAGGGAGGACUGUGGCUGCCUGUGACCUAGUAAUGAUGAUGGUAAUGUUUAUAAUGAGUACAAGAAUGAUGUGUGUAGACUGUGUGGGUGUAAGACUAUAGUUUCCUCUCCCUUGUGACCUGGUGCUGUGGAUAAGCUUAUGUUUAAUGGAUGUGUUUACCGACAUGACAGUGAUGGAGAGUGAUGCUGGAGUGUGCCGGGCCAGGUCUGGGGUGUGCUCCAAAGAUCAGCUCCGGUGGGCAGCAUGACCCAGGCAAGAUGGCACCACUGUGAAGACCUGCCCAUACCACAACAGACUGGGGCACACCACCAAGCCACACCAGUUAAAAGUUGUUACUGGUGUCCCAAGGAAAUGUUUAUAAAUUUUCAAGAUUGGUGAUUGUAACUCCUAAACAUCCCUGGCCGCCAGCACACCAGGGGAGAUUGACGCAGCAUAACAUAGUGUAAUGAUAUUCAAACUUGGUAGGCUAGACUGUCUUCUCCCCUCCUGUAAUGUAUUCUAAGCUUAAGUUACCCAUCAAGCUGAGGUGAUGGUCCCCUGCAGCUUAAGAUAUUACUGUGUGUGUGUGUGUGUGUGUGUGUGUGUGUGUGUGUGUGUGUGUGUGUGUGUGUGUAUGUCAACAUUUUGUAUCUCGACUAUUUCCGGAGGCCAAAAAUGAGACCGGUCGGGUUCUAAUGGGUGUGUUUGCCCGGUGGUGGUUUUACGAAUGCGGAGAAAUCAGAGUUUGUUUACGAUCGACAACGCACAUUAAACAAGACUCUCACAUCUUAACAAAUAUACUUGGACUGUUCUUAACCUGGUACCUGCGUGGGUUGUGUUUCUUAAUGGUCCCUCCAAGCCAGAAAAAUGAGAAAAAAUCACCCUCACACAAACCAUUUCAUAAUAUAUAUCAAAGCAUUUGUGAUCAGAUUAUGUAUCAUCUAUUUUUAGGGGGUUUAUAUCAUGGCACAAAUUUGGCCCGUCGCUGCUACACGGUAAAGCCACAAAUUUGGCCCGUCGCUGCUACACGGUAAAGCCACAAAUUUGGCCCGUCGCUGCUACACGGUAAAGCCACAAAUUUGGCCCGUCGCUGCUACACGGUAAAGCCACAAAUUUGGCCCGUCGCUGCUACACGGUAAAGCCACAAAUUUGGCCCGUCGCUGCUACACGGUUAAGUUUAUAAAGGGAGGUUAAUGAUAGGAAGAUAAACUAAGAUAUGUAUAGAAAUAAGAUCACAAAAUUAAACUUGUAAUAAUAAGCGUAAAUUGAUCUCUCUCUUAAGUCCGGUGCUAAGUUUAAAUAUACCAAUCUUACUAAUGAAUGAAGAUAAUGACAGCUGGAUUAAGAUAGAAGAUAACUUAAUGAUAGGUAUUUUAAGAUAGUAAGGUAAUGAUUCUUUAUUACUAAGGAAAUUAAACUUGAGAUGAUCAGUUUAAAUCCCUUACUCUCUCUAUCUUAAGUUUUGGUGCUAAGUAAACAUAUAUAUAUACUCAUAGGAUUAAGGAGUAAGAUAGUUAAGAUACUGGUUAUUGAAGAGAAAGUGGAGGAAGAGAAGGAGAGGAGGAAGAAAGGAAGAGAAAGAAGAGGAGGAAGAAAGGAAGAGAAAGAAGGAGAGAAAGGAGAAGAGGAAGAAGAAGAGGAAGAGAAGGGAGAGGAGGAAGAAAGGAGAGGAAGAGAAAGAAGGAGAGAAAGGAGAAGAGGAAGAAAGGAAGAGGAAGAAGAAGAGAAAGAAAAUAGAAGAGAAAGCAAUAUUAAACACCAAUAAACAAAGAUGGAAAUAAAAUUGAAAUAUCCAGAAAUUACAUAAAAAAAUUGGAAAGGAAGAAGAGAGACAGAAUUAAAGAAAGAGAGGAAGAAGAAGAAGAAGAAGAGAAUGGGGUAGAUAGAGAGAAAAUAUGUUAAUUAAUGAAUAUUAGAUUGAUAUUAGGUUAGGUUAAUUUAAUGAGGUAUUGUUCCUUGAUAUAUUGAUAAGAUUAAAUUGUUGAUGGACGGAAUAUAUUGUAGAUUGAUUUAACUUCUCCUCCUCCUCCUCCUCUUCUUCCUCCUCCUCCUCCUCCUCCUGCUCCUUCUCUUCCUCUUCCUUCUUUUCCUCAUUUUUCUUCUCCUGUUUUCUUCCUCCUCCAAAAUGUUUUAUAGAUUAAUUUAACUUUUUCUCCUCCUCCUCCUCUUCUUCCUCCUCCUCCUCCUCCUCUUCCUCCUUUUUUUCUUUUCUUUCUUAUUUAAUUUUUCUUCUCCUGUUUUCUUCCUCCUCCAAAAUGUUUUAUAGAUUAAUUUAACUUUUUCUCCUCCUCCUCCUCCUCUUCCUCCUCCUCCUCCUCCUCCUCUGCACAGGUGUCUUAAGUUAAUCACAGUCAUUAGAGGGAGACUUUGCCAGGUGUGGAUCUUAUAUAUGUGUUCACAGGUGUGUGUGUGUGUGUGUGUGUGUGUGUGUGUACUUUAAUUUUCUUUCAUUUUUUUUCUUUUUAUUUAUUUCUCUCUCUCUCUCUCUCUCUCUCUCUCUCUCUCUCUCUCUCUCUCUCUCUCUCUCUCUCUCUCUCUCUCUCUCUCUCUCUCUCUCUCUCUCUCAUUCUUUUUUUCUUUUCUCUCCC
Eriocheir sinensis (Chinese mitten crab) is the source of this 3591-nucleotide long non-coding RNA. RefSeq lists it as uncharacterized. Lineage: Eukaryota; Metazoa; Arthropoda; Malacostraca; Decapoda; Varunidae. The record is from RefSeq and is a predicted model, not a curated record. The transcript has 3 exons.